This is a long non-coding RNA of Sapajus apella (tufted capuchin), 2328 nucleotides long. RefSeq lists it as uncharacterized. The transcript has 2 exons. NCBI's taxonomy places the organism in Eukaryota, Metazoa, Chordata, Mammalia, Primates, Cebidae. The record is from RefSeq and is a predicted model, not a curated record.
GUGAUCCACCUGCCUCGGCCUCCCAAAGUACUGGGAUUAUAAGCAUGAGCCACCGUGCCAGGGUUUGGUAGCUAAAUUGAAUGCUCAGAGACUGCCUCCCUUCUUUUCUGCUCCUUUAACUCUGGCAUUGUUUAUUAGCUUUCUGAAAUCAUCUGCAGUUCUUAGCUCUCUUGUGGAACUUCCAGGCUGACCUCCAGGGUCACUCAGGGUGAGGGCCACUGACCCUGAACAAGGUCUUUGGUUCUGUGGGCUGACACCAGGACUGGACUGCAGCCUCACCCCAGACCACACCGAUUCCACACGUGCCUCCCUCACCCUUGUCCACAUUUAUCCAUCAGCAUCCUGCCUGGAAGUCCUCUCCUGGGCCCCCACCCCCUCAGGGAAUGUUCAUCUGCAUUCUUCCUGAGCCAGGGCAGAGCCGAGCCUCCCUGAAGUGUGAGCAUGAUGCUGACUGCAGGCUCUGAUUCUUUUCCCAGUGCCAGGUGGAGCUCAACAGGAGAGUCCUAGCGGAUCUGGCCAUCUACGAACCAAAGACUUUUAAAUCUUUGGCUGCCUUGGCCACCAGGAGGCGACAAGAAGGCUUUGCUGCCGCUUUGGGGGAUGGGAAGGAGCCCGAAGGCAUUUUUUCACGAGUGGUGCAGUACCACUGAGGAUUGCUGUAUUCAUCAGGAAAAGACAGAGUCAUUUGCAGUUGCUUUGAUUUGUACUUGUGUUUAUCCCCUACAUUCUAGUAACAGCCAUGAGGGGCCCCUCCUCUCUGGGGCAGAGCCUCACAGAUGACUUCUGUGUUUCGUGUGAGUGAAACUCAAACACUGUUCAGUUUUUAGAGCCAUUUUCCUGUAUCAAGCGAACACUCCAUGGAGCUCGCCUCGCGUCAGGGCUGCUGCAGGCACCUGGUUGUGGGAUGCAGCUGAGCUCUGCACACUGGGAGGUCUACUCCAGGCUCCCCUCAAGGGCUGUGUGUGCAGUGCCCGCUGGCCAGUUCCCUGAGCCCCUACCUACUCCAUCCCACCCAGGACUGACCUCAGACCUCGCCCUGCCCCAUCCCCCCAGGCUCAUGUCCAGCAGAGCCCUGUGGCUCAGCUAUGCCACCACUCAGAACACCAGCCUCAGCUUCCUUAGGUGCUCCGCGUUCAGCAGCCCAGCAGGGAUUGGGGGAAAUGCCCCCACAUCAGGUGGGUGGUGGCCUGGUCCCCUGCAGGUUGGACUGACUUUUUAGCUAUCUCCAGGAAGCAAGACCCAACAGACAACUGUCCAUUAACCCCAAGGCUGAUGUAUGUCUCCCCUGGUCUUUCUGCCUGAGGAAGGCUCUUGAGACCCAGGUUACCCACUGCUGUCUGCCUGCUGAUGCCCGCUUCAUUUACACAGCAGUGCACACACCCCGCCCCAACCUGCUUGUUUUGCUGACCUGCCGUAGGAGCACCUAAAGUGAGUGCCCAUUUCCCCACCAAAGGCAGCCAGCUUGCAUCCUGUGGGGAUGUGCCCUUCACCCUUGGCCAGCAGUUGCUGGGCAGUCUCUCUGGGCCUUUUUCUUAGACUCACCACCCACUUCCAGCCUGCACAGAGAAACAAAGUCCUGGCCACUUGCUAGAGAUGGCUUCAGGCCGACCACUCCAUUCUCAAUGCAGGCGUCAUCCUUUCUGGCUUCCAUCACUGCAUGGCUAAGAGGUCCCCCUCCUGGCCCGUCACUGUGCUUGAUGACAGCCACCACACCUGAAGCCUCUGGACACUGGGGACCAAGUCUCAUUCGGCAUCCUUUCCCCUGCAUGAGUGCAGCGUCUGGCCGUGUGCACGGGGCGUUAAAUGCCUGACAGAGCUUUGGGCGGCCACAUUCUGUGCACACUGCUGCACUGUGGCAAAGCUGCCUGUGCUGCAUCCCAUCUCAAUAAAGGAAUACACAGAUGUCACAGACUACUGUGGGCUGCUCCCAGCAUGCACUCGCUUUGUGCCAGCAGAGGCUGUGGUGCCAUGGUCCUGUUCCCAGGCAGCUCCAGAGCCUGGGCCUGAUUGGCUGGAGGCACCACCACCUCCCACUCUGGCAGUCACAGCUGAGGGAACCGGCAUGCAGCACCGUGAGAAACCAGCUGUGUGGUGGGGCUUCCUGCGAUGUGUAGCUAUAACACAUAAGACUGCCAGCUUGGGGAAAGAGAAUGGGGUGAAGCUGUAACCAUAUCCUGUUGCCCAUGGCAGGCGGUGAGGAGAGUGGGUCUUGGUUGUUACUGUCAUGGCAGAGCUAAUGGACAGCUGGGCCUGGGGGCGGGGUGAGGGGCAAUGGUGGCCUCUGGAUUUCAGCCCGUUUAAACUGGGCGGUCACUCAAUUCUAAAUCU